UCGUCUCUUUCUUUCGUCUUCGUCUUCUCCUUUCGUCUUCAUCCAUUCACCGUUACUGAGCCUAUCAGCCAUCAAUCAAUGGAGUUCUUCAACACCCUCUUAAUGAGUUCGUUUCAACUCCCUCUUUUUCGCCUUCUUUAUAUACUCUUUCCCCUUUCCUGUCUACAAACCAAAACCCUAGAUUCUCCUAAAAUAUGGCAAUGAAACCAAACGGCAAGUCCCAUGUAUCCUCCGCCAAAGAUCACGAAGUUAUGUUCUUCGAAGAUAUCUCACUAGGUCCCCAAGAAACCCAGUUAUGCUACACUCUGAUCCACUUCUUAGAGGCUCGAAACCUAUUGAAAAAACACUUAUUGGUCUCGAAAUGCUCCUCAUAGAUGAACAGGAAACUGUUAUUCAAGGAUUCAUUCCAUCAGGAGGUGUUAAAAAAUAUUUGCCUGACAUGAAACAAGAAUCAGUUUACAGUCUCGGAUCCAAAAACAAAUCGGUGUAUCGGGUUGCUGAUCAUAGCGUAACCGUUUCUUUCUCAUGGAGCUCUAUCAUUUCGGUUCUUAAGUACAGUACCAUCCCCUUCGGAGAGGACAAUUUCUGGUUUCAUUCAUAUCAGGAAUUUAAAGCUAACUGUGAUCUCCAAAGUGACCUUUACGAUGUUGUUGGCCACAUGAAGCUGGUCAAUGGAUAGACUCUCAUUGAGCAAAUAGCAACCACGCGACACCUUUUGGUUCAUGUUGAAUCACAUGAGGGACCUGUGAUAAAGCUCUACUUUUGGGACCAAACUGCAACCGACUUCUGCAAGAAGUUCAAAUCUAUGAAAACACUCCCACCGUCAAAAUUUGCAUGAUUGAGACGAUCCCUUGCCCUCUUCUUAGAAUGCUUCUUCGGCGUUAUUUGUAAACUGGUAUCACAUAUCCCUUCUGCAAUGAAACUUCUCUUCAUAAAAGAACAGGUCUGAAUAAAAAUGAGCAAUUUCUAUUCGUCCAUGCUGCUUGCAAGUUUAUCUCUUGACUCAACUUAUUUUGUACAGUUAUAUACAAUUAUCUCCAUUUCUAAAUCAGUAAAUGUAUACAGGAUGAUGAGUUAAUCAAAGAACAUCACAACAAAAACCUAAUUACAAUUCAAAUAUCAUUACAUUUUGUGUUAUUUAUUUAGGUCUUAGUAAAAAGUAAAAACCCACCGCAUUCGCUUUCAACUUUUUUGAAAUGGGAGACACUUUUUCUCUAUCAUCAAUUGUACGUGUUGAUAUAUGUGUCGAAUUCAUCUAAGAAAUAAUAACCCAAAAACUCGAAAUAGUUAUACAUAAUGGUCUAAAUAUUGUCAGCCACACCCCUUAAUUCGAGUUGUUAGUAUCACCCAAAAAACCAUUACUAUUUUAUUCUUUCUAAAUUAACUUCCUUAUACAAAAAGGUUUACUAAAUACAUAUAUAUAUAUAUAUAUAUACUUUAAAAUAUCUCAAGUUUCUAUAUAAAUUAUUAUUUGAGCUCUGCAAUAUUUGUUUUUUUUUUUAAGUCUGUCGUGGGUAAACCAUCUUUAAAAUCUAUCAAAUUAUGUAUUAACAUUCUCUCCCCAUCGAAUAUACAUAUACGAGAAAUUCAAAUAAAAUAACCUAAAGGUAUUACUUAGGAACAAUUUAUAAACAAAUAAUUAUGAAAUUCAUUUGCGUUUAGAGGGACACACCAUCUAAGUUAAACAAAUAAUAAUUCACAUUUGUUCGAGUUAUUCUAUAUGCUGUUAAAUUUUUAAAAUUCAUUUUCUUAGCAUAGUACAAAUUUCUUAUGAAACCAAGAAUGCCCAAGAAGUAUAAAUGUAAUGCUAUUUAUUAUUGUCAGAAGGUCCUUCUCUGUCAGGGUUUACAGGUCAACUGGUUUGCUUCGGUAAAGUAGGCUUUCGGAAGGAGAAAAAGAUGCUUCAUUCGGUUCCCUCGGAUCGGUAAAUCCGAAUUCGUGACAAGACUACUAAUAGCAACGAAGCUGACUCGACCAGUUUACAACUUCGAAAGAAGGAGAGCGCUUCAGGAUUUAGCCUGAACCGAUGCCAGAGCUCUCAGUGGUUUGUGGACUCGAACCACAGUAGGAAUUUACAGUUCCGGCUCCCCAGCAGCAACCUUUACUUUGGAGUCAAUUUCAUAACAAAAUUUGAUGCUACUAA
Raphanus sativus (radish) is the source of this 2143-nucleotide RNA transcript. RefSeq lists it as uncharacterized. The record is from RefSeq and is a predicted model, not a curated record. The transcript has 4 exons. NCBI's taxonomy places the organism in Eukaryota, Viridiplantae, Streptophyta, Magnoliopsida, Brassicales, Brassicaceae.